Molecule: ribosomal RNA, 198 nt
Filed under: uncultured bacterium
Lineage: Bacteria
Description: partial 16S ribosomal RNA
Rfam family: Bacterial small subunit ribosomal RNA
Source: RNAcentral
ACGCUCGACACCUACGGGAGGAGCAGUGGGGAAUAUUGCACAAUGGGGGAAACCCUGAUGCAGCGACGCCGCGUGAGCGAAGAAGUAUUUCGGUAUGUAAAGCUCUAUCAGCAGGGAAGAAGAAAGACGGUACCUGACUAAGAAGCCCCGGCUAACUACGUACCAGCAGCCGCGGUAAUCUGAGCGGGCUGGCAAGGC